CCCCUACAACAUAAACGACUCUGAAAAAUCUUACACUAAGUGAAAGAAGCGGGACACAGAAGACCAUAUAUUAUACAGGCCCAUUUCUAGGAGUGGCCAGAUCUGCUAAGUCUACAGAGAGAAAAAGGGGACUAGCAGCUGCCUAGUGCUGGGGGUGAGGGAAGCCGAUAAGGUUUCUCUGAGGAGAUGAAACCACGCUGAGUUAGCCAUCUAUUCACCCACCCUCUCCAGUGUAGCAGAGAAAACAGGUCUCACAAGGCCCACUCUCCACACCACCAUUACUCAGAGGACUCCCCUCUCCCCUGCCUCCUGCACAGUGAAGACAAGAUGCCUGAUGGACAAGGGCCCAGGACGGGCGCACUGCAACACAGGGCAGACCCCUGGGCUCCCAACUGUCUCUCUCAACCGUGCGCUUACGCAGCCCCUGCUGCACUGUGCUGACCGAAGAUCUGAGUCACCACUGACUCCCAAGUUAAGUUUUUUACAGAUGUGUCUCUCAAAAUGCUUCAAAUAAAAGGUCCUGGGGACACACUGCCAGUUACUGAGGGGGAUGUGGAGCAGAGCAUACAGGACAACCCCGCACACCCCUCCUCGCUCCUCUUUCGGUCUGGGAACACUUUCCACCCGAGAGGCGCGGGCCAGCCUCUGGCACCAGCGCGGUGACUCACCCUCCGUCAGGCCCUGCCCAGCGCCGGCCAGAGGGGCGGCGGGGCAAUCACGCGGUCGGCCCCAGCGGGUUAAGCCCCCAUGGAGCUCCGGGGGCCAGGUCACCGCGGAGCCCAGCGGGGCGCUCGCCCGGGACGCCUCAGAGCUCCGUCCAGCGGGAAGUGGGUUCCGCACCCCCGCUCCCCCGGGCCCGACGCGGCCAGAUCCCACGGGAAGGAAGCCCUGUCCCCUUCGCCCCAGACCCUCUGCAGGAGCACCCAGCUUGCACGAGAGUGACUCCCUUCCAGGUGACUUCCAGCUCGCACCCAGAGGAGGGGCUGUUCCCAAUCCAGAGCCGCUCAACUCUGCUGCCGCGCCGGUCGCUGCAUUUCCACUGACCUGAUUGCAACAUCUCCCCGUAGGUGUGGGCCGGGGAGCUGGGAGCGAGCGGCCCGCCCUGCCCUUGGGAGACCCCGGCCCCUCCCCCUCGGCCCUCCGCCUCCUGAACUCCCGAGUCCGGGACCCCCGCUACCGGUAGGGCUCCUCUCCGUCCCUAGACCCUUUCGGCUCUCCGCCCCGUCCCCCUAACCCUCCAGGUCCUGGACCCCCUCCCCGGCGGGCCCCUCUCCUAUCCUACACACCCCCCUCAACCUUCUGGCCCCUUCUUCCCAGAAGCCCGGAGAUCCUCCCCUGAGGCCCUGGACUCUCCUCCCAAGCCCCCUCAGGAC
This is a long non-coding RNA of Bos taurus (domestic cattle), 1373 nucleotides long. NCBI's taxonomy places the organism in Eukaryota, Metazoa, Chordata, Mammalia, Artiodactyla, Bovidae. The record is from Ensembl.